AGACCCUGAGGAGACUGAGCCCAGCGCCAGGCGACCGGUCCCCGCCGCCGCCGCCCCUGCGCGGGAGAUCCCCCCUGCUUAGUCCGCGCCCGAGCCCCCGUCCGUGGGAACAGACAAGGGGCCUCCGCAGCGCCUCACAACCCCCGACCAGGUCCAGCGGCGGGGGACUCGGCCGUGGAGGGCGCUGUUCGGUCUGGAUGGCUCCCCCCAUCAGCGGGAGGCUACACCCCCCACCAGCAGGGGCAAGAGGAGCAGCGGGAUGGGAGCAGGCCAACGUCCUGCGGCCUGGUUGAGCUCGCACUGACAAUCGCAGGUUUCGGACACGGGGGUCGCUUUGGGGGGCCUGGGGGCGCGGGGACCAGAGCUCGGGGCGGGGCAGUCCAGCCAGUUGGGCCCCAUGGGCUGGGGGGCGUCCGGCUCGGUCUUGAUGCUGUUCUUGGGGAAGCGCCAGUAGUGGGCGCCCUUGAAGAAGUAGGUGUCACCUGGAGGAGCAGAGCUUGAGUCCCGGUCCCUCCCCGCCCCGCCGCUCCCUGAUGCCCAAGGACCCCCAUCCCCGCAGGGUGGCCUCCAUGUCCCCAUUCCCCACAUCCCUCUCCCCACCCCCAGGCCCAGUAACCCGCAGGUCACCGCGCUCCCCACCUGCGUUGCUGACGGUGACAUCGUCAGGGGAGGGGGGCGCGCCUUCCCAGAGGCUCAGGUCGCGAGGGUAGCCGGGGUCCGGGCGCGCCGCCGCCUCGUCGUAGCGCCAGUACUGCCGGCCGCGGACCAGGUAGGUCUUCCCGUUCUGUGGCCACGAGAACACGGCGUCCACCUCCUCUCCCGGGGGCAGCCCCAGCUCCGUGAGCGGCCGCGCCCCGCCCUCCAGCUGCCGGUCCUGGAACACCCAGAACUGGGGCCCUGCAGGGUGGAGGCCGGGAGGUCAGGGGUGGGCUCCCCGCGCCGGCCCCAGCGCGCCCCGCCGCCGGCCCCACUCACCGCUAAAGAGGAGGAUUCGGCCGUCUCGGUGCCGAGCAUAGGCGGCCUGCACCACCCUCACCUGGGCGGGCAGCCCCUCCCAGAAGCGGUGCAGCCGUGCGGGUCGCGGGGACACCAGCUGUCCGGAGGGCUGGAGGCGCCAGAACCAGGGGCCUGCAGGGGACAAAGGGGUUCGCAGGAAGGCAUGAGACAGCAGGAGGUCUCCUCCCCCAGGGUGUGUGGCUGGGUGGGGAGGGGUCCCAUCUGGAAAUCAAGGGCGCAAUGGAUCUAGGGUGACCAGCCCAUCCUGGCCCGCCUGAGACUUUUCCCUUUUUAGCGCUAAAAGUGCCAGGGCCUUGCCUGGUGGCUCAGACCUGUAAUGCCAGCACAUUGGGAGGCUGACACCGGAGAAUCACCUGAGCCAGGAGAUUGAGCCCAGCCUGGGCAAUAUAGUGAGACUCCAUCUCUACAAAAUAAUAAAAUAAAUUACUAGCAAGGCGUGGUGGCAUGUGCCUGUGGUCCCAGCUACCAGGGAGGCUGAGGUGGGAGGAUCGCUUGAGCCCAGUAUUUUGAGGCUGCAGUGAGCCAUGAUCACACCACUGCACUGCGGCCCAGGCAACAAAGCAAGACCCUGUCUCAAAGAAGAAAAAAGUUCCGCUUCCAGGGUAAGCCCACAGCCCCAGUGGGUCACUGGAAGUGGGCAGGAAACCAACAUAUAUGAGGCCAAGUGAAAUGACUCACCUUUGAAGAAGAAAGUUUCCCCUCGGAUGUUGGCGAUGGCGUCAAAAUUGCCCUCACAUCGAUCAGGGAUGGGGAAGGAUGGGCUGGGGAGGAAAGGAGAGGUGAGUAGAGAGGGGGGUUUGUUUUCUCCAAGGCAGGGACCCCCACCAUCCCCAUCUCAGAGGACACUGAGGCUGGGCAGCUGGUCACCCAAGGUCUCCGAGUUGGUGGGGGACUCACCUGUGUGUGGGCGAGGCCGGGGGCUGGGGCGGAGGAGCCAGGGGUUUCCUUGUGGGCUUGUCAUAUGGGGUUUGGGGCGCCUUCCCUGUGAGGAAAGAGUCAGGCAGGUGUGCGUCCCCUGGCCCUGCUGCAGAGGACACUGGAUGGGGCAAUGAUGGUUUCGCGGCAGGUCCCUCUCCCCCUACCAUAGAGUUGCUGCAGGCCAUCGCGGUCAUCCUGAGACAGGCGGUACUUGUCAGGGUCGCCCACCGGACCCUGGUAGAAGGGCCUCAUAAUGGAGUUGGGGGCUGAGGAGUGGCCCAGGCCCAGGGCGUGGCCAAACUCAUGGACAGCCACGGCAAACAGGUCGGUCCCCUCGCCGUCUGCAGGAGAAAGUGGGUGAGAGCUGCGGCCGCCCCUGCUUGGGGAAAGGGGCCACAGGAAGGCCCUGCGAGUGCAGCUGGGGCCAACAGGAACAGCAGGACACCCUCCAGAGGUGGCCCCAGCCUCCUCUGCCCAGCCCUUCCUGAACUCUCCAUCAUCCCUGUCUCCAGUCACUCAGUCAGCAUGGCUGUGAUGGACACUGGACCACAGGGCUGAAAAGAUCCAGAGAACACACAGAGGAAUAGGCCACCUUACACACCGAUGGGGCCCCUCCUCUGGGAAGGGAGCACUUUGUGCACAGAAGUUUGAGGGGGAGGAGCUGGGUGUGGUGGCUCAUGCCUGUAAACCCAGCACUUUUGGAGUCCCAGGUGGGAGGAUCGCUUGAGCCCAAGAGUUCAAGACUGGCCUGGACAACAUAAGGAGAUCCCCAUCUCUACAAAAAAAUUUUAAAAAUUGGCCAGGAGUGGUGGCGCAUGCCUGUGGUCCCAGCUACUCAGGUCCCAGGCUGAGGCAGGGAGGCAGGAGAAUCGCUGGAGCCCGGGAGGUGGAGGCUGCAGUGACGCAUGACCAUGUCAUUGCACUCCAGCCUGGAGGAC
This 2873-nucleotide long non-coding RNA is filed under the name Homo sapiens (human). RNAcentral's name for it is "HSALNT0384171". Lineage: Eukaryota; Metazoa; Chordata; Mammalia; Primates; Hominidae. The record is from RNAcentral.